AGGGAAUAGUGGUCUUGGGUGGUUAGAGAGGGAAUAGUGGUCUUGGGUGGUUGGGGAGGGAAUAGUGGUCUUGGGUGGUUAGAGAGGGAAUAGUGGUCUUGGGUGGUUAGAGAGGGAAUAGUGGUCUUGGGUGGUUGGGGAGGGAAUAGUGGUCUUGGGUGGUUAGAGAGGGAAUAGUGGUCUUGGGUGGUUAGAGAGGGAAUAGUGGUCUUGGGUGGUUGGGGAGGGAAUAGUGGUCUUGGGUGGUUAGAGAGGGAAUAGUGGUCUUGGGAGGUUAGGGAGGGAAUAGUGGUCUUGGGUGGUUAGGGAGGGAAUAGUGGUCUUGGGUGGUUGGGGAGGGAAUAGUGGUCUUGGGUGGUUAGAGAGGGAAUAGUGGUCUUGGGAGGUUAGGGAGGGAAUAGUGGUCUUGGGUGGUUAGAGAGGGAAUAGUGGUCUUGGGAGGUUAGGGAGGGAAUAGUGGUCUUGGGUGGUUAGAGAGGGAAUAGUGGUCUUGGGAGGUUAGGGAGGGAAUAGUGGUCUUGGGUGGUUAGAGAGGGAAUAGUGGUCUUGGGUGGUUAGAGAGGGAAUAGUGGUCUUGGGUGGUUAGAGAGGGAAUAGUGGUCUUGGGUGGUUAGGGAGGGAAUAGUGGUCUUGGGUGAUUAGGGAGGGAAUAGUGAUCUUCAGUGGUUAGAGAGGGAAUAGUGGUCUUGGGUGGUUAGGGAGGGAAUAGUGGUCUUCAGUGGUUAGAGAGGGAAUAGUGGUCUUGGGAGGUUAGGGAGGGAAUAGUGAUCUUCAGUGGUUAGAGAGGGAAUAGUGGUCUUGGGAGGUUAGGGAGGGAAUAGUGGUCUUGGGUGGUUAGAGAGGGAAUAUUGGUCUUGGGUGGUUAGGGAGGGAAUAGUGGUCUUGGGUGAUUAGGGAGGGAAUAGUGGUCUUGGGUGAUUAGGGAGGGAAUAGUGGUCUUGGGUGGUUAGGGAGGGAAUAGUGGUCUUGGGUGGUUUGAGAGGGAAUAUUGGUCU
Molecule: long non-coding RNA, 995 nt
Organism: Eriocheir sinensis (Chinese mitten crab)
Lineage: Eukaryota; Metazoa; Arthropoda; Malacostraca; Decapoda; Varunidae
Exons: 4
Source: RefSeq, a predicted model, not a curated record